Meriones unguiculatus (Mongolian gerbil) is the source of this 1520-nucleotide RNA transcript. It is a transcript of the gene named transmembrane protein 234, with no coding region annotated. The transcript has 6 exons. NCBI's taxonomy places the organism in Eukaryota, Metazoa, Chordata, Mammalia, Rodentia, Muridae. The record is from RefSeq and is a predicted model, not a curated record.
UCCGCCCCCUCGCUCCCGGAAGUAGAAGGGCCUGGCGUUUCCAUGGCGGCUUCCCUGGGGCAGGUGCUUGCCCUGGUGCUGGUGGCCGCACUGUGGGGUGGCACGCAGCCGCUGCUGAAGCGUGCCUCCUCCGGCCUGCAGCAGGUGCAUGAGCAGACAUGGGCCCGGCAGCUGUUGCAGGAGAUGAAGACUCUCUUCUUGAAUACUGAGUACCUGAUGCCCUUUCUCCUCAAUCAGAGUGGCUCCCUUGUCUACUACUUGACCUUGGCCUCAGCAGAUCUGACUUUAGCUGUGCCCAUCUGUAACUCUCUGGCCAUCGUCUUCACAAUGAUUGUUGGGAGGAUCCUCGGAGAAGAUAUUGGUGGAAAACAAGCAGUGGCCGGCAUGGUGCUCACCAUCACAGGGAUCAUGUUUUGCAUCACAAGCUCGGUGACCAAGACCCAGGGCCAACUGUAGGCCUCUUGAGCAGGCCAACCUGUCCUGCAGCUCUGCCGUGCUCAGCUGACUCUGGGCACUGAGGUACAGGCAGAGUGAGACACUGGCUUAACUGCCUCCUCUCCUGGACCACAUCUACCUCAGGGGUGAACAGCACUGUCCAGAGUUGAGGACAACCGAGGCUACACAGGAGAGCCCUGCCUCAAAAAAGCAAGCAAGCAAGCAAACAAAGCAACAACUCUGGGAAGGUUGUGUAACCUUGGGUGGGUGGAUCUCUGAGUUCAAGGCCAGCCUGGGAUACAGAAUGAGUUCCAGGACAGCCAAGGCCACACAGAAACCCUGUGUCAAAAACCAAAGGAAAAAAGGGGGCUAGCACUGGAGACUGCACACACACUUAGCAGCCUCUGCCCCAGCAGCCCCAGUCUUCCUGCUGUCAACUCAGGCAGCUGUUACCUGGCCUCUAUCUAGACCUGCUGGCCUGCUCUAGACUACGGAGUCUGCAGAGCCUUAGCCACAUGGAAAGGGCUGGCUGCCGCCUCUGAAUCAGGACUGUCUGGCAGACUCCAAAGCCCCAUUACAGUGCCUUGGCUGGCCGACGGUGGAAUUCAGGGAGAACCCCUGGAAGAAAAGUGAAGUAACCAGCUCUGGGCAAAAAUGCAAGUAAGUCCCUAUGAAAGAAGCGAGGGACUUGGGCCGAAGGUGGCUCGUGUACCAACGUGUGUGCUGUGUGAGCCUGACAGCCCGUGCUCAGUGCUCUGAAACCCACGCAAAGGUGGGCGGAAACAACUGACUCUGUCCUCUGGCCGCUGCGUGAUGAGCCACGGCAUUCAAAUGCUCAUGCACAUAUAGCAUGCACACACAAUAAUGAAUACGGAAGUAAAUAAAAGAAGCAAGAGCAGGGCUGGAGAAAUGGCUCAGAGGUUAAAAGCACUGGCUGUUCCCCCAGACGUCCUGAGUUCAAUUCCCAGCACACACAUGGUGGCUCCCAACCAUCAUAUAAUGAUAUCUGGUGCCCUCUUCUGGCAUGUAGGGAUAUAUGCAGGCAGAAUACUGUAUAAAUAAUAAAUAAAUCUUUUAAAAAAGAA